Molecule: long non-coding RNA, 663 nt
Organism: Alligator mississippiensis (American alligator)
Lineage: Eukaryota; Metazoa; Chordata; Crocodylia; Alligatoridae
Exons: 2
Source: RefSeq, a predicted model, not a curated record
AUGCGUGCGUGGGCAGCGGGUCGGCUUUCUAGCCGCCGUCUCUAUGGUUUUGCUGGGCGGGCUGGGAGCAGUUCAGCCCGGUGGUUUGGGGGUUUGUUUGUUUUUUGAAUGCUCAAGCUUUAUUAGAAGCAAGUCGUUGCGGACGGGCUCUGGCUGUAGCACGUGUCCCAGCCAGAGCUUGGGCCAUCAGCAGUGGGGGAGCGCGAGCGGCGGCGACUUGGCGUUGUUGCCUGAUGGCAAAAUCAGCUCAAUUGGCCUGAGUUUCAAGUACAGUCAAGUCUUGGGAAGUUCAUAACUGAAUUGUAGAAUGUCCAAACUACAGCAGCACCUGGUUUCCUGGUCGCCUGCCAUGGACAUGGGAAACAAAAAGUAUACAAUUGAAAAUGACACAAAUCCAGAAGAGACAUUUAAGGUAUCCACAUUUUAGCAAGACACUCCAAAUUUACGCUGAAACAGGCCUCCAAUGAACCAGCAGAACCAGACCUCCAGUGAACCAAUCCUGCAGUGACUGGUUAAGAUGAUCAAUGGAGAGCUUAGUAUCACCCUGACUCAUGAUAUAGGAAUUAAAAAAAACUGACAGUCACCAAGCACAAGCAUUCAAAAUUUGUGAGUUGGACCUUCCUUCUUCAUCUGUGAACAUUAAAUUGUUAACUGUGUUUCUGA